RNAcentral lists this ribosomal RNA (141 nucleotides) under Bacillus sp. APMAM. RNAcentral's name for it is "partial 16S ribosomal RNA". It matches the Rfam family "Bacterial small subunit ribosomal RNA", at positions 1 to 137 of the family's 1533-position model. The record is from RNAcentral. Lineage: Bacteria; Bacillati; Bacillota; Bacilli; Caryophanales; Bacillaceae.
UUUUUUGGAGAGUUUGAUCCUGGCUCAGGACGAACGCUGGCGGCGUGCCUAAUACAUGCAAGUUGAGCGGACUUUUAAAAGCUUGCUUUUAAAAGUUAGCGGCGGACGGGUGAGUAACACGUGGGUAACCUGCCUGUAAGA